UGGGGAAUAUUGGACAAUGGGCGCAAGCCUGAUCCAGCCAUGCCGCGUGAGUGAUGAAGGCCUUAGGGUUGUAAUGCUCUUUUUGGCGGGGACGAUAAUGACGGUACCCGCAGAAUAAGCCCCGGCUAACUUCGUGCCAGCAGCCGCGGUAAUACGAAGGGGGCUAGCGUUGUUCGGAAUUACUGGGCGUAAAGCGCACGUAGGCGGAUCGGCAAGUCAGGGGUGAAAUCCCGGGGCUCAACCUCGGAACUGCCUCUGAUACUGCCAGUCUAGAGUCCGGAAGAGGUGGGUGGAAUUCCUAGUGUAGAGGUGAAAUUCGCAGAUAUUAGGAAGAACACCGGUGGCGAAGGCGGCCCACUGGUCCGGUACUGACGCUGAGGUGCGAAAGCGUGGGGAGCAAACAGGAUUAGAUACCCUUGUAGUCCCUGAGCGGGCUGGCAAGGCGCAU
Molecule: ribosomal RNA, 448 nt
Filed under: uncultured bacterium
Lineage: Bacteria
Description: bacterial SSU rRNA
Rfam family: Bacterial small subunit ribosomal RNA
Source: RNAcentral